UGUGUGUGUUUGUGUUGGAACCCACCUCUCACUGAAUGACAUGGAUGGAUGGAUGGAUGGAUGGAUGGAUGGAUGGAUGGAUGGAUGGAUGGAUGGAUGGAUGGAUGGAUGGAUGGUGUCGUAUCCAGCCAAUGUCUUUGUUUUCUGAGUUUGUGUUUUUGUUUAUUUUAACCGGUCUGGUCCUUGUUUCCUUCUGUUUACCACAGCCUAGCACAAACUUGUUUAUUGUUACUCCUAAUUACCUGGUCUUGUUUUUCAUUGGUUCUCCCUGCAUUUCCUGUUUGAAUAUAUAUUCCUUAGUUGCCUCUGGGCCCUGCUGUGUCCUGCGUCGUACUUGUUCCUGGUCGUACCUGGUGGUGCAUCCUAUGUCCUGGCCUGGUUCUGGUUUCCCUGGCUGGUACGUUAGUGAGAACAAUAAAUCUCGGACUUACCAUUUUUCAUCUGACUCCUGGUGUCUCCUUCUCUGCACUUUGGUCCCACCCACAAACUGCACAUCUGACAUUAAGACACAGCCAACAGGACCAAGCAGAAGGUGGGGAGAUAAUCUGUGGGAGUGUCUCCAGCGUGCUUGGAGAGCUGCGCAUGCCAGGCUGAAGUGGCGGAGGAGCAGCGAGUGACGAGGGACGAGCAGCGAUCGCCAGUCUGGGGUUCAAGGCUGGCGAUUACCCUUCCAGGAGCCAGUCCACUGCGCUACGUCUCUCCCCUAGCCUCUUCUCAGCACCGCAGAGAGCGUUGCAGGCACGAAGCUUCAGCUCUUGGCUCCGUGGAGGGUCGGCGGAGGGUCUGCUCCUGGUUACAUCCCUGAUCGGCCAUCUUCUUCAUCUUCAAGUGGAAAAAAUUUUUAAAAAGCAGCUGUGCAGUAUGUUUACAAUGGACAUCCAGGCAGGUAAAAACAGACAUAAACAGCAGUACCUUCAUAACAGCUCAAAAGUCCAUCACCUCCAGUGCGACCUGUAACGACUAUUUACUCAAAUUGACUCCCUGUGGAGCAGAGCCCUCUUUUAUAGCCAUAGGCUCUGCCCACAAGAAGACAACAACAAAGAAAACCCCUAAACAAAUACUUAUAACUCAGAACGUACAAAAUUAAUACAGCGACCUGAUGACAUCACCGUUACAUCAUCAUGUGACUCCCAUCCGGUGGCUUUCACCCAGAAAUACCUUAACUUGAAUAACUGAGGGAAAUCUUUGACACUGUAAAUUACAAACUAUAUUGGGUAUGACAACUGAGGCAGGAACACCGUGUGUGCACCCAUGACGCACCGCGCCAGUUUUGCUGAAACCAAAAGGUAAGUUCUGUCAGGUGCGCAUUUGCAUGUGUGCUUGCAUGUCAGCCCGGACUUCACUGUAGCACUACGUCCAAGCUUGGGACGGCUCCUCCAGAGGGGUUCAAGGACAAGGAUGGAUGGAUGGACACAGUCACAAAAAUUAUCUGCCAAAAUAGUUGCUAUGUCAUAAAAAUCAAUACAUGGAUGGAAAACUGCUACAUUUCUUUUUUUAAAAAAAAAGGAAACUGAGGAAUGCUGGACUUGGGAGCUCAGUCCUGAGGAGCUUCUACCACUGUGCGGUGGAGAGCGUCCUCUACACCUGCAUCAACUUAUGGCACGGCAGUUGCACUGCUGCCGAGAGGAAGGCUCUGCAGAGGGUGAUAAAGCUGGAAAGAGGACUGUGGGGAACUGUCCUCCCCUCAGACAGGUGGCUGAGGAGCAUUCAGAGCAAGAUCACCAGGCUCAGAAACAGCUUCUUCCCUGAAGCUGUCUGACUGCAUAACUCAAGCCACUCUCUGUAGACUCUCUCACUACUCACUGAACUGCACUAAACACUUCACCCAGCAAAGGUGCAAUAUUUCACUCACUUAUAGGUGCAAUAUUAAGGACUACCUCUUGCUUUACAUGUGUAGUUAGUACUUUGAAAAGUUAAUUUUAGCUUCACAAUUUACCUGUUUAUAUUUUUUUUAUUGUUUUGCUCUUUGCUGCACAAAUUUUUACUGAUUGACAUUUAUUGUUAGAUUUAGCUUUGAAUGUUAUACUUAGUUUUCUUUUUACUUAAGUAUUAGGCUUCUUAACCAGGACCUGAGUCCGAAUUUCAUACCAUAACAUGUAACUGUGAGCUGGUAUGACAAUAAAAAUCCUUGAAUCCAUAAAAGUAUACAAUAAAAUAUAAAUUAAAUUAAAACAAUAUGAAAGUUAAAUCAGAGAGUUUGCAUACAAACCAAACACGGUCUACUUCUAUAAAGGAAUUACAACAAUCUAGGUUAAUUCACAUUAACAAGAAUCAAUCGUUGGAUGUACUCAACAAAGGAGGUACAAAUUCAAAUAUCCGAUACAAACACCAAAGAGCCAGUCAGCUAAACGAGGUACUUUGGGAGCGCGCAUUGCUUUUACAAGGUCAAGAAAUGGCUGCAAUAUAAAGAAAACAUUUCUAACUUCAUGUAAAGCCUAGCUGUGCUACAGUGCAGAUACUAGCUUGUACAUUGAACAGGAACAACAAAUCAAGAAUUUUGUCAGUAUGUAAAACAGGAUUUCCUCUGCAGCAAAGUUCUUGCUAAAUUCUCACAUGGUUAAGCCACCACAAGACACAAGACAUCAGAAUGAUGGCAGUUUGGUGAACCAGAAAAACGUUGUUGGAGAAAUGCCUCUAACACUAGCACAAUUUAUAUGUUGUGCAGGGUAGGAGCAAGUUAAAUGAUAAGCAGCUGAACACAGUUAUUAAACAUUAAUAAAACUAAUAAAGAGUGCGAUAUUUGAAUUUCUCUUUGAAUCUAAUCCUGGUUCAUUGUAAAGAAAUGUAGAUUUGUGUGGCUGAUGUGCCAGGGUAAACCAAGAAGGAUUAGAUGGCAUACUUUUCUUGAGCACAACAAAUGCAAUUAAUAAAUUAACCCUAAAGAUACAUCUCAAACCAAUGAAGAUUUGAUUUAAAGCAAAAUCUGCUGACCUUGAAUUCAGAAGAUUAUGCAACUAUGCUCAGUUCGUUUGUUACCAGAGUCUAGAAGAUGGACUUCUAGUGCAGUCUUGCUUUGCCCAUAUAGGGAAAUGCUGGCAACUUCUCUCGGUGUGGUCACUCUUUGUUUUCCAAGUCGUCUUCUAUUGAGGGAAUGUUCUAAAAGGAUUGUGCUGAAACUGAAACAAAGAGAGGGCUGCUUUGCCAUGAAGGAAAGUGAUGCAAGGCAGCAGGAAAUGGCUGGGGCUAUAUCCUCAGGAAGUGUUGCAACAUUGUGAAUAAAAGUUUUGUUUACCUGGAACAACUAAUUUUCAAUGUGUAAAUGGAAUCAAGAAUAUGGUGACAGCUAAGAACAAUUUAGUAAGGAUCUCCAUUUAUCAUUGAUAUAAUGCUACAGCAGCUUGUGUAAUGGUUUUGUUAAAUUGCACAAUUAAUGACACUAAUGGAAGUGAGAGGGAGGCAGUUUGGCAUCAGUAUCAGAUGGAGGUUCUAACUAGUCAGCAUGUGGCUUCGCUCUCAUUAUUUUCUAGGAAACAACGCAAAACAGCAGCGUUUGGUCAGGGGAAAAUACUCCGAGGCGUGGUGACCAGUGACCCUUUUCAAGCCUUCUUCCAUGUUUGUAUUAAGGGCUAAAAUCCACUGAAAUAUAUAUCUGUUCUGUUUCGGCACACUUCAGCACGAUGCGUUCAAUGUGUGUUAAAAGUGUCAUUAAAAGUGUGUCAAAAGUA
Long non-coding RNA from Girardinichthys multiradiatus, 3665 nucleotides. RefSeq lists it as uncharacterized. The record is from RefSeq and is a predicted model, not a curated record. NCBI's taxonomy places the organism in Eukaryota, Metazoa, Chordata, Actinopteri, Cyprinodontiformes, Goodeidae. The transcript is spliced from 2 exons.